This 333-nucleotide ribosomal RNA is filed under the name uncultured Bacillota bacterium. RNAcentral describes it as "bacterial SSU rRNA". It matches the Rfam family "Bacterial small subunit ribosomal RNA", at positions 28 to 351 of the family's 1533-position model. Lineage: Bacteria; Bacillati; Bacillota. The record is from RNAcentral.
GACGAACGCUGGCGGCGUGCCUAAUACAUGCAAGUCGAGCGGACUUCAGGGAGCUUGCUCCCUGAUAUCAGCGGCGGACGGGUGAGUAACACGUGGGCAACCUGCCUGUAAGACUGGGAUAACUUCGGGAAACCGGAGCUAAUACCGGAUAAUCCUUUUCCUCUCAUGAGGGAAAGCUGAAAGACGGUUUCGGCUGUCACUUACAGAUGGGCCCGCGGCGCAUUAGCUAGUUGGUGAGGUAACGGCUCACCAAGGCGACGAUGCGUAGCCGACCUGAGAGGGUGAUCGGCCACACUGGGACUGAGACACGGCCCAGACUCCUACGGGAGGCUG